This 500-nucleotide long non-coding RNA is filed under the name Sinocyclocheilus grahami. RNAcentral's name for it is "lncRNA (ENSSGRG00000030948.1)". The record is from RNAcentral. Lineage: Eukaryota; Metazoa; Chordata; Actinopteri; Cypriniformes; Cyprinidae.
UGUACCACCACUCAUCUUUUGCAUUUGAGCUUGGGGAACUUUGUUUGUCGACAGGCUUUAUUAAACCUGUUGCUGACCGGCCACGCGACUCCUCAAGUCUUCAAUGGUACAUCACUAAACGAUGAGCAACACAAAGCACUCACCCAGCCUCUCCACGGGGUUCUGACUCGCAGUCAUGUCGGAUAUCUGCUCUGGAACAGAGAACAAGUCAACCAUGCACAGCUCCCCCUGGUGGGCAGCAUGCUGAAAACACCCAAGCUGCCUAUCUGGGUGUGCAACAUCAAUGGCACCUACAGUGUUUUAUUCAGCCCAAACCGUUCAUUGCUCUCUGACUGGAAAAUGGAGCAUCUUUUCCAGCUUUACUUCUACAAUGGCCAUCCAACUCAGCUCAACACAAUGCUCACCAUAGAUACACACUCCCAUCACUGGGAGGCUGAAAAUAAUGACAUUCAAGGAGACCCAGAAAAAAAGUUUCCAUCUGUAGAGAUGACCAUUAGGAC